This 59-nucleotide transfer RNA is filed under the name Gigantolina magna. RNAcentral describes it as "tRNA-Ser". Lineage: Eukaryota; Metazoa; Platyhelminthes; Cestoda; Amphilinidea; Amphilinidae. The record is from RNAcentral.
GGAGGAUUGUUUGGAGUUACUGCUAAUAACUUUUAAUCAAUUUAUUUUGAUGUCCUCCU